UACGUAGGGGGCAAGCGUUGUCCGGAAUCAUUGGGCGUAAAGAGCGUGUAGGCGGCCCGAUAAGUCCGCCGUGAAAGUCCAGGGCUCAACCCUGGGAUGCCGGUGGAAACUGUCGGGCUAGAGUCCGGAAGAGGAAAGUGGAAUUCCUGGUGUAGCGGUGAAAUGCGCAGAUAUCAGGAAGAACACCAAUGGCGAAAGCAGCUUUCUGGGACGGUACUGACGCUGAGACGCGAAAGCGUGGGGAGCGAACAGG
RNAcentral lists this ribosomal RNA (253 nucleotides) under uncultured bacterium. RNAcentral's name for it is "partial 16S ribosomal RNA". It matches the Rfam family "Bacterial small subunit ribosomal RNA", at positions 524 to 776 of the family's 1533-position model. The record is from RNAcentral.